This 412-nucleotide long non-coding RNA is filed under the name Malus domestica (apple). RNAcentral describes it as "long non-coding RNA (MDOM_LNC017261)". The record is from RNAcentral. Lineage: Eukaryota; Viridiplantae; Streptophyta; Magnoliopsida; Rosales; Rosaceae.
AUUUCGUCCCAAAAACCUUGCAAAAACACGAUUAAGAUCAAGAUCUAAGCUACAGAGCGAUUGAAAACACAACCACAAUUCAUAUGCAUGAAUCAAUCGAAGAGGUAAAAAGGUGAGGGACCGGGAGUUGACCUGACCACCGACGGCGAUGGCGACGACCUGCAUCGCAACUUGCGUCUGCAUCUGAAUCUGGCCUUGAUAGAGGUUUCUGGUAAAACUAGAGAGAGAGCUGCACCUGCAUCAAACUCGCAGCUGCACCUGCAUCGCGACUUGCGUCUGCAUCUGAAUCUAGCCUUGCUAGAGGUUUCUGGAAAAACUAAAGAGAGAGAGAGAGAGAGAGAGAAAGAGAGAUUUUCUGGGUUUGUGUGUAAAGGGUCACCGGCUGAUAAGAUAUUAAGCUGUGGGUUUGAAU